RNAcentral lists this ribosomal RNA (440 nucleotides) under uncultured bacterium. RNAcentral's name for it is "partial 16S ribosomal RNA". It matches the Rfam family "Bacterial small subunit ribosomal RNA", at positions 338 to 795 of the family's 1533-position model. The record is from RNAcentral.
CCUACGGGAGGCAGCAGUAGGGAAUAUUGCUCAAUGGGGGAAACCCUGAAGCAGCAACGCCGCGUGGAGGAUGAAGGUUUUCGGAUUGUAAACUCCUUUUGUUAGAGAAGAUAAUGACGGUAUCUCACGAAUAAGCACCGGCUAACACCGCGCCAGAAGCCGCGGUAAUACGGAGGGGGCAAGCGUUAUUCGGAAUUACUGGGCGUAAAGAGCGCGUAGGCGGGAUAGCAAGUCAGAUGUGAAAUCCUAUGGCUUAACCAUAGAACUGCAUUUGAGACUGUUGUUAUGGAGUAUGGGAGAGGUAGGUGGAAUUCUUGGUGGAGGGGUGAAAUCCGUAGAGAUCAAGAGGAAUACUCGUUGCGAAGGCGAUCUGCUAGAACAUAACUGACGGUGAUGCGCGAAAGCGUGGGGAGCAAACAGGAUUAGAUACCCUAGUAGUC